RNAcentral lists this ribosomal RNA (791 nucleotides) under uncultured organism. RNAcentral's name for it is "bacterial SSU rRNA". It matches the Rfam family "Bacterial small subunit ribosomal RNA", at positions 61 to 893 of the family's 1533-position model. The record is from RNAcentral.
GUCGAACGCAACCUUCGGGUUGAGUGGCGGACGGGUGAGUAACGCGUGAGAAUCUGCCUUGGGGUCGGGGACGACCACUGGAAACGGUGGCUAAUACCGGAUAAGCCUUUGGGUAAAAGAUUUAUUGCCCCAAGAGGAGCUCGCGUCUGAUUAGCUAGUUGGUGAGGUAAAAGCUCACCAAGGCAGCGAUCAGUAGCUGGUCUGAGAGGACGAUCAGCCACACUGGGACUGAGACACGGCCCAGACUCCUACGGGAGGCAGCAGUGGGGAAUUUUCCGCAAUGGGCGAAAGCCUGACGGAGCAAGACCGCGUGAGGGAGGAAGGCUCUUGGGUUGUAAACCUCUUUUCUCAGGGAAGAAGCUCUGACGGUACCUGAGGAAUCAGCCUCGGCUAACUCCGUGCCAGCAGCCGCGGUAAUACGGAGGAGGCAAGCGUUAUCCGGAAUUAUUGGGCGUAAAGCGUCCGCAGGUGGCGAUUCAAGUCUGCUGUCAAAGCACGGGGCUUAACUCCGUUAAGGCAGUGGAAACUGAAUAGCUAGAGUGCCGUAGGGGUAGAGGGAAUUCCCGGUGUAGCGGUGAAAUGCGUAGAGAUCGGGAAGAACAUCGGUGGCGAAAGCGCUCUACUUGGACGGCAACUGACACUCAGGGACGAAAAGCUAGGGGAGCGAAUGGGAUUAGAUACCCCAGUAGUCCUAGCUGUAAACGAUGGAUACUAGGUUGUAGCUUGUAUCGACCCGAGCUGUGCCGAAGCUAACGCGUAUAGUAUCCCGCCUGGGGAGUACGCACGCAAGU